Molecule: ribosomal RNA, 253 nt
Filed under: uncultured bacterium
Lineage: Bacteria
Description: partial 16S ribosomal RNA
Rfam family: Bacterial small subunit ribosomal RNA
Source: RNAcentral
UACGGAGGGUGCAAACGUUGCUCGGAAUCAUUGGGCGUAAAGCGCACGUAGGCGGCUCGUUAAGUCGGAUGUGAAAGCCCCGGGCUCAACUCGGGAAGUGCAUUCGAAACUGGCGAGCUUGAAUAUGGAAGAGGGUCGCGGAAUUCCCGGUGUAGAGGUGAAAUUCGUAGAUAUCGGGAGGAACACCAGUGGCGAAGGCGGCGACCUGGGCCAAUAUUGACGCUGAGGUGCGAAAGCGUGGGGAGCAAACGGG